CCUGGCUCAGGAUGAACGCUAGCUACAGGCUUAACACAUGCAAGUCGAGGGGCAGCACAAGGAGCAAUCUGAGGUGGCGACCGGCGCACGGGUGAGUAACACGUAUGCAACCUGCCUGUAAGCGGGGAAUAACCCGUUGAAAGACGGACUAAUACCGCAUAAUACUAAAUUACUGCAUGGUAAUUUAUUUAAACAUUUAUGGCUUACAGAUGGGCAUGCGCAUGAUUAGCUAGUUGGAGAGGUAACGGCUCCCCAAGGCAACGAUCAUUAGGGGUUCUGAGAGGAAGGUCCCCCCACACUGGUACUGAGACACGGACCAGACUCCUACGGGAGGCAGCAGUGAGGAAUAUUGGUCAAUGGACGAGAGUCUGAACCAGCCAAGUCGCGUGCAGGAAGAAUUGUCCUAUGGAUUGUAAACUGCUUUUGCAGGGGAAUAAAGUGCAUCACGUGUGAUGUUUUGUAUGUACUCUGCGAAUAAGGAUCGGCUAACUCCGUGCCAGCCGCGGC
RNAcentral lists this ribosomal RNA (507 nucleotides) under uncultured bacterium. Its description in RNAcentral is "bacterial SSU rRNA". It matches the Rfam family "Bacterial small subunit ribosomal RNA", at positions 18 to 518 of the family's 1533-position model. The record is from RNAcentral.